UGUGUGUGUGUGUGUGUGUGUGGUUUUUGUGUGCAUAUUCAUCCUCAAACACAGCUGUGACAGCAGGGAAGGUCAGCCUCAUUUCCCUUUUUUCCAGGUCUGUAUCUGAACAGAGUAUGAAGAGGAACAGAAGAUCAAACGUGACCUCACUUCCUGUCCAUUGUGAUGCCGACGACGCCUCUGCUUUGCUCACUGGGGAUACAUUUAAAUUUUAUAUCCUGGUUUCUGUAAAGCCUCUUCAUGACAUUUUUAAAAGUGUUAUAAAUAAAACUGAAAUCGAACGUAAGCAGCAGCGCAGCACGUGAUUGGUCCGAUCUACAGGUCAGUUUGGUAUUAUUGCUUCUUUAUGUCUAAUCUAGUUAUAGCAGGCGUUCCCACCAGGCCAGCUUUCUGUUUUGGUAAGUGAUUGGCUGUGUGUGUGUGUGUGUGUGUGUGUGUGUGUGUGUGUGUGUGUGUGUGUGUGUGUUUCCAUUUACUAAUUUCAAUCAACACUUCACUGUGACACCUGAACGAACAUCCUGUUAACAGCACAGCUCAUCACGCACUUCAGAGAGGGAGACGGAUGGAGAGAGAAAGUAUUGGCACCCUUCGAGUGUUUUUUUUUUUUUUGCGUGGGAGGAUUUCCAUAAAAUACUCAUGUACCGCUCGGCGUUUUGGAGAAAAUAUGAGGCCAAAAUAUCCGCAGUCCUCCUGCUAAUAAUACACGUUGACAUCUCUGCCUUAUGUAAACAUAUUUAUAGUUGUUUAAUUUAUUUAUUUAGGUUAUUUUCUUACCUCACCUCUCGUCUUCAUGUAAAGAUCGUGCUGUGCACAGAGACAUUUUUAACAAACACAGCAGUAAACACAGCCGUCCUGUCUAAAACUCUGUCUGACUCCCUCACGAUCCGGUCAAGUUUCGGAGAGAUAUACGCCUUCGCAGAGUGGAAUCAAUUCCGUUUGUGGCUUUCAAAAUGUCCGCCGUGACGCUCGGGCCCUGUCACGUCUGAGAGCGAUUUUCCGAGCGCUCCGAACCGCUGCAGCGUCCUGCCGAAACACUCCACGCAAAAUGGCGGCGGCUUCAGCAGUAAAACCUAGUUACGUAUUUAUAUUCCUGUGUAAUAAUCCGUAUAACUGACUGUCAUUAACGUCUUAUAAUGCAAGAUUAAUCUGAAAAUAAAGGACGUACAGUCCAGUCUAACGCAGCUAGCACAGAGUCGGAUAACCGUCUAAUGCCGCGUAAGUCCGAGUCUGGGGAGGUGAACAGUUCUGAGCAGAACGCCCUUUUCAUGCAGUAAUUACAGCAGUCGUGACAUGGCAUGAACGCAGUUUAAUAUACGCAGUGAUUAUUUCACACCGAGGUUAGCGUGAACAGUGGAGUGAAGAGACCAGAAGAGACGAAGCUCGAGUAUAAACGUCCGGAGCGACUUUCAGAGGUCACGAGACGGACGUGGAUGAUACUGCAGGUUCCAGCAGCAACCCCCCCCCGGAGGUCUCCCAUCCAGCUACUGACCAGGAUCAGCCCUGCGUAUCUUCAGCAGGAACCCAGGGGAGAACUGCAGGGAGAAACGACUCUGUGUCCCUCAGCGUGUCACGUACAGGUACGAGAGCUAAUAAACCUCAGACUGUAGACCAACAACCGAGCCGGUUUUAUGAUAAUAAAAUCAUCUCUGCAGCUUCGGCCGCCAUUUUACAAAGGACGUCCCGCAGACGCUCGAUCGGAUUGAGAUCUGGGGAAUUUGGAGGUCGAGUCGACACCUUGAACUCUUUGGACCACUUUUGGUUGCUGUGAGAGGUCGUUGGUGUGUGCGAUGUUCUCCACAGUGCAGCUUUCCUCAGGACACACGGAGAAACGAGACAACACCAUCACCAACACGGCCUUCAUCAUCACCAUGGCGAUGUGCUUACCAAC
This is a long non-coding RNA of Ictalurus punctatus (channel catfish), 1888 nucleotides long. RefSeq lists it as uncharacterized. The transcript has 4 exons. NCBI's taxonomy places the organism in Eukaryota, Metazoa, Chordata, Actinopteri, Siluriformes, Ictaluridae. The record is from RefSeq and is a predicted model, not a curated record.